UGUAGAUUGCUUUUGGCAAGAUAGCCA
RNAcentral lists this non-coding RNA (27 nucleotides) under Mus musculus (house mouse). Lineage: Eukaryota; Metazoa; Chordata; Mammalia; Rodentia; Muridae. The record is from RNAcentral.